Molecule: ribosomal RNA, 301 nt
Filed under: uncultured bacterium
Lineage: Bacteria
Description: partial 16S ribosomal RNA
Rfam family: Bacterial small subunit ribosomal RNA
Source: RNAcentral
CAGUCGCCACGGUAAUACGUAGGGCGCAAGCGUUAUCCGGAAUUAUUGGGCGUAAAGAGCUCGUAGGCGGUUUGUCACGUCUGCCGUGAAAGUCCGGGGCUCAACCCCGGAUCUGCGGUGGGUACGGGCAGACUAGAGUGAUGUAGGGGAGACUGGAAUUCCUGGUGUAGCGGUGAAAUGCGCAGAUAUCAGGAGGAACACCGAUGGCGAAGGCAGGUCUCUGGGCAUUAACUGACGCUGAGGAGCGAAAGCAUGGGGAGCGAACAGGAUUAGAUACCCCUGUAGUCCCUGUCUCUUAUAC